UUCGUAGGGGGCGAGCGUUGUCCGGAAUCAUUGGGCGUAAAGCGCGUGUAGGCGGUCCGGUAAGUCCGCUGUGAAAGUCGGGGGCUCAACCCUCGGAUGCCGGUGGAUACUGGCGGGCUUGAGUACGGAAGAGGCGAGUGGAAUUCCUGGUGUAGCGGUGAAAUGCGCAGAUAUCAGGAGGAACACCAAUUGCGAAGGCAGCUCGCUGGGACGUUACUGACGCUGAGACGCGAAAGCGUGGGGAGCAAACAGG
RNAcentral lists this ribosomal RNA (253 nucleotides) under uncultured bacterium. RNAcentral describes it as "partial 16S ribosomal RNA". It matches the Rfam family "Bacterial small subunit ribosomal RNA", at positions 524 to 776 of the family's 1533-position model. The record is from RNAcentral.